RNAcentral lists this ribosomal RNA (1279 nucleotides) under human gut metagenome. RNAcentral's name for it is "bacterial LSU rRNA". It matches the Rfam family "Bacterial large subunit ribosomal RNA", at positions 1100 to 2397 of the family's 2925-position model. The record is from RNAcentral.
GUUGGCUUGGAAGCAGCCAUUCAUUUAAAGAGUGCGUAACAGCUCACUAGUCGAGUGAUCCCGCGUGGAUAAUAAUCGGGCAUAAGUCCGGUACCGAAGCCAUGGAAUCACGCUUAUGGCGUGAUUGGUAGGGGAGCAUUCCGUACAGCGGCGAAGGUCGGUGGCGAUGCCGGCUGGAGCGUACGGAAAAGCAAAUGUAGGUAUAAGUAACGAUAAUGGAGGCGAGAAACCUCCACGCCGAAAGACCAAGGUUUCCUGAUCAACGCUAAUCGGAUCAGGGUAAGUCGGGACCUAAGGGGCAGCCGCGAGGCGGACCCGAUGGAAGAAACGGUAAAGAUUCCGUUACUGUCGCCGGGAGUGAAGCGGGGACGGAGGAGUGACACCGCCGCGGACUGACGGAAUAGUCCGUUGAAGAGUGUAGGUAUUCGGAGGCCAGGCAAAUCCGGUCUCCGAGCUGAACUUGACAGUACUGCGAGCCUUCGGGCAAGCAGACAGCGUGGGUAAUCAGACUCCCAAGAAAAUCCGCUAAACAUAUGUCGGCGACACCCGUACCGAAACGGACACACGUGGUCGGGUAGAACAUACUAAGGCGCUCGAGAGAUUCACCGUUAAGGAACUAGGCAAAUUGACCUCGUAACUUCGGGAUAAGGGGUCCCACAGCGAUGUGGGCGCAGAGAAUAGGUCCAGGCAACUGUUUAACAAAAACACAGGGCUGUGCGAAAUUUAAAGAUGAAGUAUACAGCCUGACACCUGCCCGGUGCCGGAAGGUUAAGAGGAGAAGUCAUCGCAAGAGAAGCUUUGAAUUGAAGCCCCGGUAAACGGCGGCCGUAACUAUAACGGUCCUAAGGUAGCGAAAUUCCUUGUCGGGUAAGUUCCGACCUGCACGAAUGGUGUAAUGAUCUGGACACUGUCUCAACCGUGAGCUCAGUGAAAUUGUAGUAUCGGUGAAGAUGCCGAUUACCCGCGAUGGGACGAAAAGACCCCGUGAACCUUUACUAUAGCUUUACAUUGAAUUUGGGCAGACGAUGUGUAGGAUAGGCCGGAGGCUUUGAAGGGGGUACGCCAGUAUCCUUGGAGCCGCCGUUGAAAUACGGCCCUUCGGUUGUUUGAGUUCUAACUCCUAGGCAGGAGGACACUGUAUGGUGGGUAGUUUGACUGGGGUGGUCGCCUCCAAAAGCGUAACGGAGGCUUCUAAAGGUGCCCUCAGACCGAUUGGUAACCGGUCGCAGAGUGUAAUGGCAUAAGGGCGCUUGACUGGGAGACAUACAAGUCGAUCAGG